Molecule: non-coding RNA, 2314 nt
Filed under: Pan troglodytes (chimpanzee)
Lineage: Eukaryota; Metazoa; Chordata; Mammalia; Primates; Hominidae
Source: RNAcentral
AGAGGCGCCGCGGGAGGGGGUGCUCUCGGGCGAGCUCUCCAGCCGCGGCCCCCGCCCCUGCGCUGUCGGGCGGGGAGGUCGGAAACCCCCUGGCGAGACCACGGGCGGACGCUUCCCGAAGAGCUGCCUGGGCCGCAGCCGCGGAAGCUGCGUUCUGGGGAGCGGGGAGCGUGCUCUGGCGCCCUCGGGCCGCUGCUGGAAGCCAGAACCGAGCCCGGGCCGCUGCCCCUCACCGGACGCCGCGCGCCACCGGCCCUCCGCGGGGCAGGGGCUGCUGCGAGCUCGCCGGGCGCCCUUUAGACAGUCGUCCUUGUCUACUCCACUACCAAAUGUUGAAGUUCUUCAAGAAUCAGUCCUUUGGAGGCAUUUAAGGAAAUCUGUUUCUCUUUUGGAUCACUAGCUGCAAAUUAAGCUAACAGAACAGAAGCUCAGCUGGUCACACACAGCAACAAAUACAGACUUUAUAAAGUUCAGAAAAGUUACCAAACAGUGGUAACCAUAACAAGUACCAACAAUGAACUAUGGGGAGGGAGGAGAAUCUGAUUUCCAGAGUUACCACAUUAUAAUACUAUUCAAAAUGUCACAUUUUUAGCAAAGAUUACAGGACAAGGAAAAACCAGAAAAGUAUGGCCCAUACACAGGUAAAAAAAGAAAUUAAUAGAAACUACCCCUGAAGAAGCACAGACUUCGGAUGUACAAAACAAAGACUUUUCAUCAACUCUUUUAGAUAUGCUAGAAGAGCUAAAGGAAACCAUGGACAGAGAACAAAAAAAUUAGGAAAGCAAUGUCUCAUCCAAUACAGAAUAUCAAUAAAGAGAUUGAAAUUGUAGAAAAGAACCAAAUAGAAAUUCUGGAGUUGAAAAGUAUUAUAACUAAAACUGAAAAUUCACUGGAGGUAUUCAGCAGCAGACUGGAGAAGUCAGAAGAAAGAAUCAACAGGCUUCAAGAUAGGUCAAUUAAGAUUAUACAGUCUGAGGAGCAGAAAGGAAAAAGAAUGAAGAAAAAUGAACAGAGCAUAAAAGACUUCUGGGACUCUAUCAAGCAUACCAGUAUAUGCAUGAGGGGAGUCCCAGAAGGAGAAGAAAGAGAGAAAGGGACAUAAUAUUUGAAGAAAUAAUGGUAGAAAAUGUCCCAGCUUUGAUGAAAUACAUGAAUCUAGAUAUUCAAGAGGCUCAAAGAACCCUAAAUAGGGUAAACUCAAAAAGACCCACACCGGAAUGCAAAAGUGAGCUGGGUGUGGUGGCACGUGCCUGUGGUCCCAGCUACUCGAGAGGCUAAGGCAGGAAAAUCACUUGAACCCAGGAGGCAGAGAUUGCAGUGAGCCGGGAUUGCGCCAGCGCACUCCAGCUGGGCGACAGAGCGAGAUUCCAUCUCGAAAAAAAAAAAAAAAAAAAACUAUUGCUGCAGUCAUUCAGAUGGAAAUGGGGAAAGAAUAAUAUUAACUGAUUUCAAAAAGGACUUGAAGAUGUGAAUCAUCUAUUUUGCUGAAGAAAUCUUAACUCUUUGAAAUUACUUUUUGUUGCUGUUGUCAUACUCUUAGGUGCCAAACUGCGGUAAAUUUUUAAUCAGUGAAGUGGAAGCAUGUGUUUUGUUGUUUUGGGAAUUUUUAUCAAGUAUCUUCAGAGAAGAUUAUUUCCUGCUUUGUCUUCAAAAACUGGAAAGGAAGGGUCAAAGAAAAGACAGUAGCUGGCCGGUCAUGGUGGCUCAUGCCUGUAAUCCCAACACUUUGGGAGGCUGAGGCGGGCAGAUCACCUGAGGUUGGGAGUUCGAGGCCAGCCUGACCAACGUGGAGAAAUGCCAUCUCUACUAAAGAUGCAAGGAUUGGCCGGGCGUGGUGGCCGCGUGCCUGUGAUCCCAGCUGCUCAGGAGGCUGAGGCAGGAGAAUCGCUUGGACCUGGGAGGUGGAGGUUGCGGUGAGCUGAGAUCACGCCAUUGCACUCCAGCCUGGGCAACAAGCGAAACUCUGUCUCAAAAAAAGAAAAGACAGUAGCUUAUGUUCAUGUCAAGCACCUCUCAUCACAGUCUAGUUCCAAGGAAAAAUUCCAGCAUUUUCUACAUUGGGUGCUGCGUCAUCUGAAAUCGGCACAUUCCGUGGAGGAAGGAGUCCUGCUUUGUUGCAUGUAUCCUAGGGUUUAAUGUUGGUAAAUGAGUCACUCUAGCAUUUGUAGAAGGCUCCCUGAGACUCCUGCAGCAGUCGACCAAGCCCAAGGACAUAAUUGAAUCUGGAGAGUCCUGGGGCCUUGUUUUGAAAAAGACUUGAAAUACACAUAGGAAGAAAGGCAUAAAAAUAAAUGUUCACUUGUCUCUGCUGUGA